GAUGAACGCUGGCGGCGUGCCUAAUACAUGCAAGUCGAGCGAACAGAUGAGGAGCUUGCUCCUCUGACGUUAGCGGCGGACGGGUGAGUAACACGUGGAUAACCUACCUAUAAGACUGGGAUAACUGGGAAACCGGAGCUAAUACCGGAUAAUAUAUUGAACCGCAUGGUUCAAUAGUGAAAGACGGUUUUGCUGUCACUUAUAGAUGGAUCCGCGCCGCAUUAGCUAGUUGGUAAGGUAACGGCUUACCAAGGCAACGAUGCGUAGCCGACCUGAGAGGGUGAUCGGCCACACUGGAACUGAGACACGGUCCAGACUCCUACGGGAGGCAGCAGUAGGGAAUCUUCCGCAAUGGGCGAAAGCCUGACGGAGCAACGCCGCGUGAGUGAUGAAGGUCUUCGGAUCGUAAAACUCUGUUAUUAGGGAAGAACAAAUGUGUAAGUAACUAUGCACGUCUUGACGGUACCUAAUCAGAAAGCCACGGCUAACUACGUG
RNAcentral lists this ribosomal RNA (495 nucleotides) under uncultured bacterium. Its description in RNAcentral is "partial 16S ribosomal RNA". It matches the Rfam family "Bacterial small subunit ribosomal RNA", at positions 28 to 507 of the family's 1533-position model. The record is from RNAcentral.